This is a long non-coding RNA of Vicia villosa (hairy vetch), 883 nucleotides long. RefSeq lists it as uncharacterized. The record is from RefSeq and is a predicted model, not a curated record. Lineage: Eukaryota; Viridiplantae; Streptophyta; Magnoliopsida; Fabales; Fabaceae. The transcript has 3 exons.
GCGGUAAAAAUUUAGAUUCCUAAAAUAAACGAUUCUAAAUUCGAUCUUUCACUCUCGCAAAUUGGAAAAACGCGGCUAAAAAGGAAAAAGUGUGCUCCACAUAUUCUUUAAUGGAGAUUAAUCAUCUUUGUGGUUCUUCUGAUGUGGAAUUAUUUGGAGUUCGUGUUUAGAUUCACUAUAGGAAAGAAAAAUGUUGUUUAAACAUUAUUUCGCACACCUAUUGGGGCAUCCGUGUUGGUUAGAAUCAACACAUUGUUUUAAGGAUACUCAGGUUAAAUUCUAUAAAGUUAAAGUGAGACUAAAACUUGAUAGCCUCUAAAGGAAUAUACACCUCAGCUUCUCUUACUGUUGAAUGGGUGAAUGUAUUAAAUGAAAGAAUUUCUUGUACAAUAUGAAUCUCACAAAAAACUUAUAGCAUCAAUUUAUACGCUGUGGAGACUCAAAGCAAUGAUUUAGUGGCCUAAACAUUAUACGCUGUGAGAUUAACGUGAGAAGCCUGGUAUUUGUUUUUCUUUUAUUGUUAGGUUACAAUCUCCAUGCCAAAAACUACUAAUAGUAGAAUUUUUUUGUUAGAAUUAUACUUAUUUAAUUCCUUUAGUUUAAUGUUGACAUUUGUUUACCUAGAUUUCUUUAUUUUCCAUUUGUUAGUGUUAAACAAUAACAUUAAAUCACACUUAUAUUGUGUUGUUUCGGUUCUUCUUUCUUGCUUGUUUCCAUUCAAACAUACGCUCAUGAAUAGUGUUGCAUGUAAUAAAAACUUCAAUCUUUUUAAAAGAGUUUUUCCUAAGUUUUCCCUGUCCUUUAUAUAUUUUUGUUAUUGUUGGUAUAGCAUGUUCCAUUUUCAGCUUCAUGUGUACUCUUUAAAUAUCUAUUAGGAUGUAGC